GGGGUAGAGCACUGUUUCGGCUAGGGGGCCAUCCCGGCUUACCAACCCGAUGCAAACUGCGAAUACCGGAGAAUGUUAUCACGGGAGACACACGGCGGGUGCUAACGUCCGUCGUGAAGAGGGAAACAACCCAGACCGCCAGCUAAGGUCCCAAAGUCAUGGUUAAGUGGGAAACGAUGUGGGAAGGCCCAGACAGCCAGGAUGUUGGCUUAGAAGCAGCCAUCAUUUAAAGAAAGCGUAAUAGCUCACUGGUCGAGUCGGCCUGCGCGGAAGAUGUAACGGGGCUAAACCAUGCACCGAAGCUGCGGCAGCGACACUGUGUGUUGUUGGGUAGGGGAGCGUUCUGUAAGCCUGUGAAGGUGUGUCGUGAGGCAUGCUGGAGGUAUCAGAAGUGCGAAUGCUGACAUAAGUAACGAUAAAGCGGGUGAAAAGCCCGCUCGCCGGAAGACCAAGGGUUCCUGUCCAACGUUAAUCGGGGCAGGGUGAGUCGACCCCUAAGGCGAGGCCGAAAGGCGUAGUCGAUGGGAAACGGGUUAAUAUUCCCGUACUUGGUGUUACUGCGAAGGGGGGACGGAGAAGGCUAUGUUGGCCGGGCGACGGUUGUCCCGGUUUAAGCGUGUAGGUGUGUGUUCCAGGUAAAUCCGGUUCACUUUAACACUGAGGCGUGACGACGAGGCACUACGGUGCUGAAGCAACAAAUGCCCUGCUUCCAGGAAAAGCCUCUAAGCAUCAGGUAACAUCAAAUCGUACCCCAAACCGACACAGGUGGUCAGGUAGAGAAUACCAAGGCGCUUGAGAGAACUCGGGUGAAGGAACUAGGCAAAAUGGUGCCGUAACUUCGGGAGAAGGCACGCUGACACGUAGGUGAAGUGAUUUACUCAUGGAGCUGAAGUCAGUCGAAGAUACCAGCUGGCUGCAACUGUUUAUUAAAAACACAGCACUGUGCAAACACGAAAGUGGACGUAUACGGUGUGACGCCUGCCCGGUGCCGGAAGGUUAAUUGAUGGGGUCAGCGCAAGCGAAGCUCCUGAUCGAAGCCCCGGUAAACGGCGGCCGUAACUAUAACGGUCCUAAGGUAGCGAAAUUCCUUGUCGGGUAAGUUCCGACCUGCACGAAUGGCGUAAUGAUGGCCAGGCUGUCUCCACCCGAGACUCAGUGAAAUUGAACUCGCUGUGAAGAUGCAGUGUACCCGCGGCAAGACGGAAAGACCCCGUGAACCUUUACUAUAGCUUGACACUGAACAUUGAGCCUUGAUGUGUAGGAUAGGUGGGAGGCUUUGAAGUGUGGACGCCAGUCUGCAUGGAGCCGACCUUGAAAUACCACCCUUUAAUGUUUGAUGUUCUAACGUGGACCCGUUACCCGGGUUGCGGACAGUGUCUGGUGGGUAGUUUGACUGGGGCGGUCUCCUCCUAAAGAGUAACGGAGGAGCACGAAGG
This 1436-nucleotide ribosomal RNA is filed under the name Salmonella enterica subsp. enterica serovar Enteritidis. RNAcentral describes it as "partial 23S ribosomal RNA". It matches the Rfam family "Bacterial large subunit ribosomal RNA", at positions 899 to 2316 of the family's 2925-position model. The record is from RNAcentral. Lineage: Bacteria; Pseudomonadati; Pseudomonadota; Gammaproteobacteria; Enterobacterales; Enterobacteriaceae.